Molecule: unclassified non-coding RNA, 329 nt
Filed under: soil metagenome
Description: partial contains 5.8S ribosomal RNA, internal transcribed spacer 2, and large subunit ribosomal RNA
Rfam family: 5.8S ribosomal RNA (bases 1-120)
Source: RNAcentral
GAUGAAGAACGCAGCGAAAUGCGAUAAGUAAUGUGAAUUGCAGAAUUCAGUGAAUCAUCGAAUCUUUGAACGCACAUUGCGCCCCCUGGUAUUCCGGGGGGCAUGCCUGUCCGAGCGUCAUUACAACCCUCAAGCUCAGCUUGGUGUUGGGCCCCGCCGCCCCGGCGGGCCCUAAAGUCAGUGGCGGUGCCGUCCGGCUCCGAGCGUAGUAAUUCUUCUCGCUCUGGAGGUCCGGUCGUGUGCUCGCCAGCAACCCCCAAUUUUUUUCAGGUUGACCUCGCAUCAGGUAGGGAUACCCGCUGAACUUAAGCAUAUCAAUAAGCGGAGGA